UGCCAGUGAUGCAUUCUAUAUUGCACGUAUUAUCAGAAUUAAACAUGAUGAUAUACCAAUAUUGUCACUACCUCUGAGGCA
Molecule: small nucleolar RNA, 81 nt
Organism: Salvia hispanica
Lineage: Eukaryota; Viridiplantae; Streptophyta; Magnoliopsida; Lamiales; Lamiaceae
Product: small nucleolar RNA snoR122
Source: RefSeq, a predicted model, not a curated record